UCUUGAAGCUCUAGCUCACCUCUCUGGUAUUGUUCUCAUUUGAUUAAUCUAGUUCUUGUUAGUUCUUCUUGAACUUCUUGUUAGAUCUCGAGUCUGUAUUUCUAUGUCCGUGACAGUUUGUCGAGACUGCACUCACCUCAAAUAUCAGAGCUAGUUUCUUCUUUGUUAGAGUGUGGAUUAUCCCUCUGCUUGGAAGUGUACUAGCAUUUUAGAGGUUGCGGAUUACCCUCCUCUAAACUGAUACUUCUUUUGUUAUAAUAUUG
Molecule: long non-coding RNA, 263 nt
Filed under: Physcomitrium patens
Lineage: Eukaryota; Viridiplantae; Streptophyta; Bryopsida; Funariales; Funariaceae
Description: long non-coding RNA (PPAT_LNC011158)
Source: RNAcentral